Molecule: long non-coding RNA, 1960 nt
Filed under: Sus scrofa (pig)
Lineage: Eukaryota; Metazoa; Chordata; Mammalia; Artiodactyla; Suidae
Description: lncRNA (ENSSSCG00015073433.1)
Source: RNAcentral
CUGUGGGAGGAUCCCGUGACGGCCCCUCGGGCCAGUGUGCUCGUCUUCCCUUCCUGAUGGAAAGUUGGCGCUGGGCCUGUCACGUGACUGCACCAACCGAACCUCGGUUGCUGUGGCCCCCGCCCCCGUAACCACGGGGACCACCCGGUGUCUUUCCAGACUUUUUCCACUUUCAGAGAGAUGUGGUCACUUCAACAUCCCGGUGCGUGACCGGCUUCUUUCCCUCAAGCACCGGUGGCGCUGUCCCAUCACGCGAGGUCCAUUUGGUCCUUUGGCAGCAGCUUCUGACAGGACACUUUGGUCUGCAGCAGCCAGUAGCCCAGCUUCCACUCCGGGGAAAGAGCGUCUCUCCGGCACCAUCAGGGGCAGCCUUGACCUGGCAGGUCAGGGAGGCCAGUGGGAGCCUGACGCAUCCACCCAAACGCACCCCCUGGCUGUGCACCCAUCUGUCGUCCCCCAGCCCGUCCUCUCCUCUCAGGGGGCGGGCACCACUCUGCACACUGACCCCCUUCCCUUGCUCACCCUUCAUCCAUCCUUCACGCUUUUUAUUUUAUUUUUUGUCUUUUGUUAUUUUCAGGGCUGCACCUGCAGCAUAUGGAGGUUCCCAGGCUAGGCGUUGAAUCAGAGCUGUAGCUGCCCGGCCACAGCCAUGCCAGAUCCAAUUCGCAUGUGCGACCUACGCCACAGCUCACGGCAAUGCCGGGUCCUGAACCCACGGAGCAAGGCCGGGGAUCGAACCCGCAACCUCAUGGUUCCUGGUUGGAUUCGCUUCCGCUGUGCCACGACGGGAACUCCCACUCUUUCCAUCCUCUCGUCCAGCCACCCACAUCAGUUAUUCGUGUGUAGCCAACAACCUCAACGCUUAGUGGCUUUGAAAAGUAAGGAACAGGCGCGGGGGAGCAAGCAAGAGUUUAAAGAAUGGUGGAGACACGUCCAAGAAGACAGGAGCCAGCUCCCCACUGACCAACUUGUAGGCAAGCUGAUCAUCAAACAGACAGUGACAGUAAAAGCUUAUAAUCUACGGGGCAAAGUAAGAGGCCCUGAGUCCAAAGCAAUGGGGAAAAAAAUGAAUCCACGGAGAAGAUGCAGCAGCUCUCGCGAGAAUGCCAGCUCAGCGAGCACCUCGGGCCAGGUUCCCGGGAAUUGCAUCAACAGCCUUGUUGAGGCAGGACUCAGAACCCAUCAAGUUCCCCCUUUGAAAGCGGCUUUUCGCGCCUUCGCAGCUUUAUAUCCGUCUCAACGCGCAAGUUCCAGAACCUUCCCACCCCCAAGGAAACCCCGGGCCCUCGAGCAGCCUCCCCGUUUCCCCCUCUCCCGGCCUGGGGAGCCACUCUGCUGCCCCUGCCUCUGUGGAUGCCCACGCGGGACGUUGGCAGAAGUGGAAUCACACACUCCGGGGCCUUCUGUGUCGCCUCCUCUCGCCGAGCAUCGGGCAUCGUGCAUUCAAGGUCCGUCCACGCGGGGGCUGAGUCCGCGCUUCCCUCCAUCCUGCGGCCAGAAGCAUUUCCCAGGGGGCGCACACGCCGCGUUUUGUCUCAUGUCUGUCCCUUGAGGGGCGGGCACUUGCUUCUGCCCCUGGCUGUUGUGGGGAUGCUGCUGGGAUGUGCGUGCGCAGGGACUUGUCUCAGCACCAGGCUGUCUUUCUCCCGGGUGGGCUGCGGGGCUGCGGUAACUGUAAAUGCUCGGGGAACAGCCGCACUGUCCCACGGCGUCCCCGCCAGCUCCAAGGUGUGGCCAGUGCUUCCUACCAUCGGUCCCUGGGGGACGAAGUGUUGAGCUGUCUGCUCUCGGUGCUCUGUCAGAAAUUCCCGAGCCCCUGUUCUGAGCCUGCCCAGAGAACCCCCCUGUCCUGGGGAAGCCCAGCCCUGGAGUCCUGGAGUUCCCCCGUGGGCAGGGGCUGCACAGGGAGGGAGAGGAGAAAGAUACUGCAGGGUGGGGCCCUCUGCACGCCAGGCUCUCG